Tarenaya hassleriana is the source of this 1330-nucleotide RNA transcript. It is a transcript of the gene named ribonuclease Z, chloroplastic, with no coding region annotated. The transcript is spliced from 9 exons. NCBI's taxonomy places the organism in Eukaryota, Viridiplantae, Streptophyta, Magnoliopsida, Brassicales, Cleomaceae. The record is from RefSeq and is a predicted model, not a curated record.
ACCCAAAAAAAAAAACGGCAAAAAAAUGCAACUUUCCGUUCCGAUUACGCCCUCUCCGUUUUACCCUUUUGCCCCUCACCGUGUCGUACCGCCGGUGACUCACCAACUGGCCCAUCAGGUGCAGACCCAGCGCGGCAAUUCCGUGAAUACGGCGAAAGUCUCGGGGUAUUUCUCGUCGAUAAGCCGAGCCAUCGAGGAGGAGGAGGAGUAUCGGAAGGCUCGAGCCGCGGUGAACCGUAAAGGCGUCGACUUGGAGGGUUACUUAGUAGAGGGCGUUUCCAUUGGAGGCCAAGAGACCUGCGUCAUCGUCCCCGAGCUCAAAUGCGCCUUUGACAUCGGGAGGUGUCCUUCACGCGCCAUUCAGCAGAAGUUCCUGUUCAUCACUCACGCCCAUCUCGACCACAUCGGUGGACUGCCAAUGUAUGUAGCUAGUCGCGGUUUGUACAAUCUUGAGCCUCCUAAAGUUUUCGUGCCGCCAUCCAUUUUAGAGGAUGUGGAGAACCUCAUAGAAAUUCACAGGUCCAUGGGUCAAGUAGAGCUCAACCUUGAACUGAUUCCACUGGAUAUAGGUGACACUUACGAGUUGCGGAAUGACAUUGUUGUGAGACCAUUUAGAACUAACCAUGUAAUACCGAGCCAGGGAUACGUGGUUUACUCAAUUAGGAAGAAGCUGAAAAAGCAGUAUGCUCAUCUCAAAGGCAAGCAAAUAGAGAAGAUAAAGAAAUCUGGCGUUGAGAUUACGGACACUAUAUUAUCCCCUGAGAUUGCAUUCACCGGAGAUACAACUGCAGAAUAUAUGCUUGAUCCUCGCAAUGCUGAUGCUUUGAGGGCGAAAAUUCUUAUAACCGAGGCAACGUUCUUGGAUGAAGGAUUUAGCAUUGAACAUGCCCAGAAACACGGGCAUACUCAUUUAUCUCAGCUUGUUGAGAAUGCAAAGUGGAUAAGGAGCAAAGCUAUAUUAUUAACACAUUUCUCUUCGCGGUACCAUAUAGAGGAAAUUCGUGAAGCUACGCUGAAGUUGCAGUCAAAGGUAUCGGGGAAAGUCGUUGCUCUUACAGAGGGGUUCAGGUCGAGAUAUUCGUGAAAGCGAGAGAUGGAGUCGGGACAUGUAGUAACAUCUUUAUCUGUAACUUGGUACGAAGGUUGUUCCUCUUAUAGAAGGGCUCAGGUCUGAGUAUUCAUGGAUUGAGGGACAGAGUAGGAAAAUUUCGCAAAGCUACAAUUUUGUUGCAAUCCACGGUGUCGGUGUUUCGGUGUUGAGUGUAGUUUGAUGGAACAGAAGAAAUAUUAGAUCAAAAUUUUCGCCAUGAAAACAAUUCAAGCCUGCAAU